This 2922-nucleotide ribosomal RNA is filed under the name Klebsiella pneumoniae. RNAcentral describes it as "bacterial LSU rRNA". It matches the Rfam family "Bacterial large subunit ribosomal RNA". Lineage: Bacteria; Pseudomonadati; Pseudomonadota; Gammaproteobacteria; Enterobacterales; Enterobacteriaceae. The record is from RNAcentral.
GGGUUGUGAGGUUAAGCGACUAAGCGUACACGGUGGAUGCCCUGGCAGUCAGAGGCGAUGAAGGACGUGCUAAUCUGCGAAAAGCGUCGGUAAGGUGAUAUGAACCGUUACAGCCGGCGAUGUCCGAAUGGGGAAACCCAGUGUGAUUCGUCACACUAUCGUUAACUGAAUACAUAGGUUAACGAGGCGAACCGGGGGAACUGAAACAUCUAAGUACCCCGAGGAAAAGAAAUCAACCGAGAUUCCCCCAGUAGCGGCGAGCGAACGGGGAGCAGCCCAGAGUCUGAAUCAGCUUGUGUGUUAGUGGAACGGUCUGGAAAGUCCGACGGUACAGGGUGAUAGUCCCGUACACCAAAAUGCACAGGCUGUGAACUCGAAGAGUAGGGCGGGACACGUGGUAUCCUGUCUGAAUAUGGGGGGACCAUCCUCCAAGGCUAAAUACUCCUGACUGACCGAUAGUGAACCAGUACCGUGAGGGAAAGGCGAAAAGAACCCCGGCGAGGGGAGUGAAAAAGAACCUGAAACCGUGUACGUACAAGCAGUGGGAGCACCUUCGGGUGUGACUGCGUACCUUUUGUAUAAUGGGUCAGCGACUUAUAUUCUGUAGCAAGGUUAACCGUAUAGGGGAGCCGCAGGGAAACCGAGUCUUAACUGGGCGUUAAGUUGCAGGGUAUAGACCCGAAACCCGGUGAUCUAGCCAUGGGCAGGUUGAAGGUUGGGUAACACUAACUGGAGGACCGAACCGACUAAUGUUGAAAAAUUAGCGGAUGACUUGUGGCUGGGGGUGAAAGGCCAAUCAAACCGGGAGAUAGCUGGUUCUCCCCGAAAGCUAUUUAGGUAGCGCCUCGUGAAUUCAUCUUCGGGGGUAGAGCACUGUUUCGGCUAGGGGGUCAUCCCGACUUACCAACCCGAUGCAAACUACGAAUACCGAAGAAUGUUAUCACGGGAGACACACGGCGGGUGCUAACGUCCGUCGUGAAGAGGGAAACAACCCAGACCGCCAGCUAAGGUCCCAAAGUCAUGGUUAAGUGGGAAACGAUGUGGGAAGGCACAGACAGCCAGGAUGUUGGCUUAGAAGCAGCCAUCAUUUAAAGAAAGCGUAAUAGCUCACUGGUCGAGUCGGCCUGCGCGGAAGAUGUAACGGGGCUAAACCAUGCACCGAAGCUGCGGCAGCGACACUAUGUGUUGUUGGGUAGGGGAGCGUUCUGUAAGCCUGCGAAGGUGACCUGUGAGGGUUGCUGGAGGUAUCAGAAGUGCGAAUGCUGACAUAAGUAACGAUAAAGCGGGUGAAAAGCCCGCUCGCCGGAAGACCAAGGGUUCCUGUCCAACGUUAAUCGGGGCAGGGUGAGUCGACCCCUAAGGCGAGGCCGAAAGGCGUAGUCGAUGGGAAACAGGUUAAUAUUCCUGUACUUGGUGUUACUGCGAAGGGGGACGGAGAAGGCUAUGUUAGCCGGGCGACGGUUGUCCCGGUUUAAGCAUGUAGGCUGGUUAUCCAGGCAAAUCCGGAUAAUCAAGGCUGAGGUGUGAUGACGAGGCACUACGGUGCUGAAGUAACAAAUGCCCUGCUUCCAGGAAAAGCCUCUAAGCAUCAGGUAACAUUAAAUCGUACCCCAAACCGACACAGGUGGUCAGGUAGAGAAUACCAAGGCGCUUGAGAGAACUCGGGUGAAGGAACUAGGCAAAAUGGUGCCGUAACUUCGGGAGAAGGCACGCUGGUGUGUAGGUGAAGUCCCUGCGGAUGGAGCUGAGACCAGUCGAAGAUACCAGCUGGCUGCAACUGUUUAUUAAAAACACAGCACUGUGCAAACACGAAAGUGGACGUAUACGGUGUGACGCCUGCCCGGUGCCGGAAGGUUAAUUGAUGGGGUUAUCCGUAAGGAGAAGCUCUUGAUCGAAGCCCCGGUAAACGGCGGCCGUAACUAUAACGGUCCUAAGGUAGCGAAAUUCCUUGUCGGGUAAGUUCCGACCUGCACGAAUGGCGUAAUGAUGGCCAGGCUGUCUCCACCCGAGACUCAGUGAAAUUGAACUCGCUGUGAAGAUGCAGUGUACCCGCGGCAAGACGGAAAGACCCCGUGAACCUUUACUAUAGCUUGACACUGAACAUUGAGCCUUGAUGUGUAGGAUAGGUGGGAGGCUUUGAAGCGUGGACGCCAGUCUGCGUGGAGCCGACCUUGAAAUACCACCCUUUAAUGUUUGAUGUUCUAACGUUGGCCCCUUACCGGGGUUGCGGACAGUGUCUGGUGGGUAGUUUGACUGGGGCGGUCUCCUCCCAAAGCGUAACGGAGGAGCACGAAGGUUAGCUAAUCCUGGUCGGACAUCAGGAGGUUAGUGCAAUGGCAUAAGCUAGCUUGACUGCGAGCGUGACGGCGCGAGCAGGUGCGAAAGCAGGUCAUAGUGAUCCGGUGGUUCUGAAUGGAAGGGCCAUCGCUCAACGGAUAAAAGGUACUCCGGGGAUAACAGGCUGAUACCGCCCAAGAGUUCAUAUCGACGGCGGUGUUUGGCACCUCGAUGUCGGCUCAUCACAUCCUGGGGCUGAAGUAGGUCCCAAGGGUAUGGCUGUUCGCCAUUUAAAGUGGUACGCGAGCUGGGUUUAGAACGUCGUGAGACAGUUCGGUCCCUAUCUGCCGUGGGCGCUGGAGAAUUGAGGGGGGCUGCUCCUAGUACGAGAGGACCGGAGUGGACGCAUCACUGGUGUUCGGGUUGUCAUGCCAAUGGCACUGCCCGGUAGCUAAAUGCGGAAGAGAUAAGUGCUGAAAGCAUCUAAGCACGAAACUUGCCCCGAGAUGAGUUCUCCCUGAGACUUUAAGUCUCCUGAAGGAACGUUGAAGACGACGACGUUGAUAGGCCGGGUGUGUAAGCGCAGCGAUGCGUUGAGCUAACCGGUACUAAUGAACCGUGAGGCUUAACCUUACAACGCCGAAG